ACCUGUGGUGCUUAAGGAG
This 19-nucleotide microRNA is filed under the name Capra hircus (goat). RNAcentral describes it as "chi-miR-543-5p". Its record names the gene chi-miR-543-5p. The record is from miRBase by way of RNAcentral. Lineage: Eukaryota; Metazoa; Chordata; Mammalia; Artiodactyla; Bovidae. RNAcentral also lists the same sequence under 1 other name.